This 637-nucleotide ribosomal RNA is filed under the name Rhytismataceae sp. 12A026. RNAcentral describes it as "LSU rRNA". It matches the Rfam family "Eukaryotic large subunit ribosomal RNA", at positions 56 to 706 of the family's 3401-position model. The record is from RNAcentral. Lineage: Eukaryota; Fungi; Ascomycota; Leotiomycetes; Rhytismatales; Rhytismataceae.
ANNGANAANACNACAGGGAUUGCCUCAGUAACGGCGAGUGAAGCGGCAACAGCUCAAAUUUGAAAGCUGGCUCCGUUAGGGGUCCGCGUUGUAAUUUGUAGAGGAUGCUUCGGGCGCGGCGCCGGUCUAAGUUCUUUGGAACAAGACGUCAUAGAGGGUGAGAAUCCCGUAUGUGACUGGUUGCCUGUGCCCAUGUGAAGCUCCUUCGACGAGUCGAGUUGUUUGGGAAUGCAGCUCAAAAUGGGUGGUAAAUUUCAUCUAAAGCUAAAUAUUGGCCAGAGACCGAUAGCGCACAAGUAGAGUGAUCGAAAGAUGAAAAGCACUUUGGAAAGAGAGUUAAACAGUACGUGAAAUUGUUGAAAGGGAAGCGCUUGCAAUCAGACUUGCGCGGCGUCGAUCAGCCUGGGUUCUCCCAGGUGCACUCGGCGCCGCUCAGGCCAGCAUCAGUUUCGACGGUGGGAUAAAGGCCUAGGGAACGUGGGUCACUUCGGUGACCGUUAUAGCCCUAGGUGCCAUGCCGCCUGUUGGGACUGAGGACCGCGCUUCGGCUAGGAUGCUGGCGUAAUGGUUGUAAGCGACCCGUCUUGAAACACGGACCAAGGAGUCUAACAUCUAUGCGAGUGUUGGGGUGGGGAAA